RNAcentral lists this small nuclear RNA (220 nucleotides) under Pseudocercospora musae. RNAcentral's name for it is "Mycosphaerella musicola U2 spliceosomal RNA". It matches the Rfam family "U2 spliceosomal RNA". Rfam says of the family: U2 is a small nuclear RNA (snRNA) component of the spliceosome (involved in pre-mRNA splicing). Complementary binding between U2 snRNA (in an area lying towards the 5' end but 3' to hairpin I) and the branchpoint sequence (BPS) of the intron results the bulging out of an unpaired adenosine, on the BPS, which initiates a nucleophilic attack at the intronic 5' splice site, thus starting the first of two transesterification reactions that mediate splicing. Lineage: Eukaryota; Fungi; Ascomycota; Dothideomycetes; Mycosphaerellales; Mycosphaerellaceae. The record is from Rfam by way of RNAcentral.
AUAUCCAUCACAGAUCUGUUCUUUUCAGUUUGUAAGUUUACCAACUCCGCCGACUACCCUUUCAGCAUCCUAACCUUUGUCCAGAAUCUCUGAAACGUGGCUACGGCCACUUCAAUGAUUAUACUUAUUUUUGGCCCUCGAUGGGUGGCCGCUGGGCUUGCCUAUGUCGCCUGUCACCGUGUCGCUGGUAUUGCACUACCUCCAGCUGACGCGAAAUCAC